This 458-nucleotide ribosomal RNA is filed under the name uncultured bacterium. RNAcentral describes it as "partial 16S ribosomal RNA". It matches the Rfam family "Bacterial small subunit ribosomal RNA", at positions 338 to 795 of the family's 1533-position model. The record is from RNAcentral.
CCUACGGGAGGCCGCAGUGGGGCAUAUUGCACAAUGGGGGAAACCCUGAUGCAGCGACGCCGCGUGAGUGAAGAAGCGUUUCGGCGCGUAACGAUCUGUCAGCGGGGAAGAAACACGGUUCGCGAGCGCCGCGGACGGUACACGACCCAGAAGGCCCGGCUAACUACGUGCCAGCAGCCGCGGUAAUACGGAGGGGGCACGCGUUAUCCGGAUUAACUGGGUGUAAAGGGAGCGUAGACGGCGAGACAAGUCUGGAGUGAAAGGCCGGGGCCCAACCCCGGGACUGCUCUGGAAACUGCCUGGCUGGAGUACAGUAGAGGUAAGUGGAAUUCCUAGUGUAGCGGUGAAAUGCGUAGAUAGUAGGAGGAACACCAGUGGCGAAGGCGGCUUACUGGACUGUAACUGACGUUGAGGCUCGAAAGCGUGGGGAGCAAACAGGAUUAGAUACCCCGGUAGUC